Molecule: non-coding RNA, 303 nt
Organism: Nannospalax galili (Upper Galilee mountains blind mole rat)
Lineage: Eukaryota; Metazoa; Chordata; Mammalia; Rodentia; Spalacidae
Source: the annotation of a RefSeq genome assembly
AUGAGGUGCCCUGCUCAGCUCCUGGGGCUGGUUAUGCUCUGGAUCCCAGGAUCCAGUAGAGACGCUGUGAUGACACAGACUCCACUCUCCUUGCCUGUUGCUCCUAGAGAGUCGGCCUCCAUCUCCUGCAGGUCUAGUCAGAACCCUCUACACAGUAAUGGAAAGACCUACUUGUUUUGGCUCUUGCAGAAGCCAGGCCAGUCUCCAAGCCCCCUGAUCUAUGAGGUUUCUAACUGGUAUUCUUGGGUCCCAGACAGGUUCAGUGGCAGUGGGUCAGGGAGAUUUCACACUCAAAAUCAGUAG